This 771-nucleotide ribosomal RNA is filed under the name Pseudomonas migulae. RNAcentral's name for it is "bacterial SSU rRNA". It matches the Rfam family "Bacterial small subunit ribosomal RNA", at positions 63 to 828 of the family's 1533-position model. Lineage: Bacteria; Pseudomonadati; Pseudomonadota; Gammaproteobacteria; Pseudomonadales; Pseudomonadaceae. The record is from RNAcentral.
CGAGCGGCAGCCGGGUACUUGUACCUGGUGGCGAGCGGCGGACGGGUGAGUAAUGCCUAGGAAUCUGCCUGGUAGUGGGGGAUAACGCUCGGAAACGGACGCUAAUACCGCAUACGUCCUACGGGAGAAAGCAGGGGACCUUCGGGCCUUGCGCUAUCAGAUGAGCCUAGGUCGGAUUAUCUAGUUGGUGAGGUAAUGGCUCACCAAGGCGACGAUCCGUAACUGGUCUGAGAGGAUGAUCAGUCACACUGGAACUGAGACACGGUCCAGACUCCUACGGGAGGCAGCAGUGGGGAAUAUUGGACAAUGGGCGAAAGCCUGAUCCACCCAUGCCGCGUGUGUGAAGAAGGUCUUCAGAUUGUAAAGCACUUUAAGUUGGGAGGAAGGGCAGUUACCUAAUACGUAUUUGUUUUGACGUUACCGACAGAAUAAGCACCGGCUAACUCUGUGCCAGCAGCCGCGGUAAUACAGAGGGUGCAAGCGUUAAUCGGAAUUACUGGGCGUAAAGCGCGCGUAGGUGGUUCGUUAAGUUGGAUGUGAAAUCCCCGGGCUCAACCUGGGAACUGCAUUCAAAACUGACGAGCUAGAGUAUGGUAGAGGGUGGUGGAAUUUCCUGUGUAGCGGUGAAAUGCGUAUAUAUAGGAAGGAACACCAGUGGCGAANGCGACCACCUGGACUGAUACUGACACUGAGGUGCGAAAGCGUGGGGAGCAAACAAGAUUAUAUACCCUGGUAGUCCACGCCGUAAACGAUGUCAACUAGCCGUUGGGA